CCUACGGGAGACUGCAGUGAGGAAUAUUGGUCAAUGGGCGCAAGUCUGAACCAGCCAUGCAGCGUGAAGGAUGACUGCUCUAUGAGUUGUAAACUGCUUUUGUACGAGGGUAAACCCCGGUACGUGUGUCGGGUUGAAAGUAUCGUACGAAUAAGGAUCGGCUAACUCCGUGCCAGCAGCCGCGGUAAUACGGAGGAUCCGAGCGUUAUCCGGAUUUAUUGGGUUUAAAGGGUGCGUAGGCGGGUUGAUAAGUUAGAGGUGAAAGGUUGGGGCUCAACCCCGAAACUGCCUCUAAUACUGGCGGACUUGAGAACAGUUGAGGUAGGCGGAAUUCAUGGUGUAGCGGUGAAAUGCUUAGAGAUCACACAGAACACCGAUUGCGAAGGCAGCUUACUAAACUAUAUCUGACGUUGAGGCACGAAAGCGUGGGUAGCAAACAGGAUUAGAUACCCUAGUAGUC
This 460-nucleotide ribosomal RNA is filed under the name uncultured bacterium. RNAcentral's name for it is "partial 16S ribosomal RNA". It matches the Rfam family "Bacterial small subunit ribosomal RNA", at positions 338 to 795 of the family's 1533-position model. The record is from RNAcentral.